RNAcentral lists this non-coding RNA (24 nucleotides) under Gallus gallus (chicken). The record is from RNAcentral. Lineage: Eukaryota; Metazoa; Chordata; Aves; Galliformes; Phasianidae. RNAcentral also lists the same sequence under 2 other names.
UGCCUAAGGAGGGGUGAACCGGCC